CCAAUAGCGUAUAUUAAAGUUGUUGCAGUUAAAAAGCUCGUAGUUGAAUUUCGGGGUUAGUAGGUUGGUCAUGCCUCUGGUAUGUACUGGUCUCACUGAUUCCUCCUUCCUGAUGAGCCGUAAUGCCAUUAAUUUGGUGUUGCGGGGAAUUUGGACUGUUACUUUGAAAAAAUUAGAGUGUUUAAAGCAAGCUAACGCUUGAAUACAUUAGCAUGGAAUAAUGAAAUAGGACGUUCGAUCCUAUUUUGUUGGUUUCUAAGAUUGACGUAAUGAUUAAUAGGGAUAGUUGGGGGCAUUAGUAUUCAAUUGUCAGAGGUGAAAUUCUUGGAUUUAUUGAAGACUAACCACUGCGAAAGCAUUUGCCAAGGAUGUUUUCAUUAAUCAAGAACGAAAGUUAGGGGAUCGAAGACGAUCAGAUACCGUCGUAGUCUUAACCAUAAACUAUGCCGACUAGGGAUCGGAUGAUGUUAAUUUUUUAAUGACUCAUUCGGCGCCUUACG
Molecule: ribosomal RNA, 500 nt
Filed under: uncultured Glomeromycotina
Lineage: Eukaryota; Fungi; Glomeromycota
Description: partial small subunit ribosomal RNA
Rfam family: Eukaryotic small subunit ribosomal RNA
Source: RNAcentral